RNAcentral lists this ribosomal RNA (638 nucleotides) under uncultured Tomentella. Its description in RNAcentral is "eukaryotic LSU rRNA". The stretch from base 208 to 362 matches the Rfam family "5.8S ribosomal RNA". Lineage: Eukaryota; Fungi; Basidiomycota; Agaricomycetes; Thelephorales; Thelephoraceae. The record is from RNAcentral.
AUCAUUACUGAACUGUCAACAUGAGUUGUUGCUGGUCCUCAGUGGGGACAUGUGCACGCUCUGUUAACACAUCCAUUCACACCUGUGCACCCUCUGUAGUUCUUAUGGUGUGGGGGACCCUGUCCUCCUGCCAUGGUUCUACGUAUUUACACACACACUGUUACAAAGUCUUAUGGAAUGUACACCGCGUUUAACGCAAUACAAUACAACUUUCAGCAACGGAUCUCUUGGCUCUCGCAUCGAUGAAGAACGCAGCGAAAUGCGAUAAGUAAUGUGAAUUGCAGAAUUCAGUGAAUCAUCGAAUCUUUGAACGCACCUUGCGCCCCUUGGAUAUUCCGAAGGGCAUGCCUGUUUGAGUAUCAUGAACACCUCAACUCUCAUGGUUUGCCAUGAUGAGCUUGGACUUUGGGGGUUCUGCUGGCCCAUGGUCGGCUCCCCUUAAAUGGAUCAGCUUGCCAGUGUUUUGGUGGGAUCCCAGGUGUGAUAACUAUCUACGCUUGUGGCUUUCCGUCAAGCAACCUUCAGCAAUGAGGGUUCGCUGGGGCUCAUAAACGUCUCUCUUGUGGAGACAGGUUUUUGAAGUUUGAUCUCAAAUCAGGUAGGACUACCCGCUGAACUUAAGCAUAUCAAUAUUUUCC